This 492-nucleotide ribosomal RNA is filed under the name uncultured bacterium. Its description in RNAcentral is "partial 16S ribosomal RNA". It matches the Rfam family "Bacterial small subunit ribosomal RNA", at positions 28 to 507 of the family's 1533-position model. The record is from RNAcentral.
GAUGAACGCUAGCUACAGGCUUAACACAUGCAAGUCGAGGGGCAGCGGUAUCGAAAGCUUGCUUUCGGUAGCCGGCGACCGGCGCACGGGUGAGUAACGCGUAUCGAACCUGCCUCAUACUCGGGAAUAGCCUUGCGAAAGUAAGAUUAAUGCCCGGUUUUUUCAGAGUCCCGCAUGAGGCUUUGAACAAAGAUUUAUCGGUAUGAGAUGGCGAUGCGUCCCAUUAGCUUGUUGGCGGGGUAACGGCCCACCAAGGCAUCGAUGGGUAGGGGUUCUGAGAGGAAGCUCCCCCGCACCGGAACUGAGACACGGUCCAAACCCCUACGGCAGGCAGCGGUGGCGAAUAUUAGGCAAGAGGCGGAAGCCUACACCAGCCAAGUGGCGUGCCGGAAUACGGCCCUCCGAAUGGUAAACUACUUGUCGUUGAGAAUAAAACGAGGCACGUGAGCCCCCUUGCAUGUACCAUCAGAAAAAGGACCGGCUAAUUCCGUG